AUUGAACGCUGGCGGCAGGCCUAACACAUCCAAGUCGAACGGUAACAGGAAGCAGCUUGCUGCUUUGCUGACGAGAGGCGGACGGGUGAGGAAUGUCUGGGAAACUGCCCGAUGGAGGGGGAUAACUACUGGAAACGGUAGCUAAUACCGCAUAACGUCGCAAGACCAAAGAGGGGGACCUUAGGGCCUCUUGCCAUCGGAUGUGCCCAGAUGGGAUUCGCUAGUUGGUGGGGUAACGGCUCACCUAGGCGACGAGCCCUAGCUGGUCUGAGAGGAUGACCAGCCACACUGGAACUGAGACACGGUCCAGACUCCUACGGGAGGCAGCAGUGGGGACUAUUGCACAAUGGGCGCAAGCCUGAUGCAGCCAUGCCGCGUGUAUGAAGAAGGCCUUCGGGUUGUAAAGUACUUUCAGCGGGGAGGAAGGGAGUGAAGUUAAUACCUUUGCUCAUUGACGUUACCCGCAGAAGAAGCACCGGCUAACUCCGUG
Molecule: ribosomal RNA, 490 nt
Filed under: uncultured bacterium
Lineage: Bacteria
Description: partial 16S ribosomal RNA
Rfam family: Bacterial small subunit ribosomal RNA
Source: RNAcentral